Molecule: long non-coding RNA, 480 nt
Filed under: Gallus gallus (chicken)
Lineage: Eukaryota; Metazoa; Chordata; Aves; Galliformes; Phasianidae
Source: RNAcentral
GGCUGAUUGUGCUCGUCUGCUCUGGGUCCAAAAUAUUGCCAUCUUCAUCUCUAACGACCAGAUCUAAAUCAAGAAUCCUGUUUCCAUAGUCAAUUUUGGCUGUCACCUUCUUUUUCAGUUCUUUGAGCUCAUCUUGGGGGAGUGUCCCAGACAGUAUUUGAGAUCUCCACUCAAUAAGAUCAUAUAUCAUGUGCCGUACGCUGCGAAACAUCUCCCUGUUAUCUUGAACGUAUAAUUGCCGCCAUAUUAUAGACCAUUCCCGUAGUGUUGUGGUAACCUCCUGAAUCAGGGGCAGCUCGUUGGGUAUAACAGUUUCAUGUUGUCCUUUUCCUUCGACUAUUGCUUCCUUAAGGUGAAUAUAGGAGGCUGGAAAUAUGCCCUUCUUGGAUUUCUUCCUCAGCGUAUAACCCCUGUACCAACCUUCAUAUGUUUCUAAUAUGUGCACAGUGUCUCCUAUUUGUAAGGAAAGCUCAUCGGGUC